Molecule: ribosomal RNA, 465 nt
Filed under: Vreelandella stevensii
Lineage: Bacteria; Pseudomonadati; Pseudomonadota; Gammaproteobacteria; Oceanospirillales; Halomonadaceae
Description: partial 16S ribosomal RNA
Rfam family: Bacterial small subunit ribosomal RNA
Source: RNAcentral
CCUACGGGGGGCAGCAGUGGGGAAUAUUGGACAAUGGGGGGAACCCUGAUCCAGCCAUGCCGCGUGUGUGAAGAAGGCCCUCGGGUUGUAAAGCACUUUCAGUGAGGAAGAACGCCUGGUGGUUAAUACCCAUCAGGAAAGACAUCACUCACAGAAGAAGCACCGGCUAACUCCGUGCCAGCAGCCGCGGUAAUACGGAGGGUGCGAGCGUUAAUCGGAAUUACUGGGCGUAAAGCGCGCGUAGGUGGCUUGAUAAGCCGGUUGUGAAAGCCCCGGGCUCAACCUGGGAACGGCAUCCGGAACUGUCAAGCUAGAGUGCAGGAGAGGAAGGCAGAAUUCCCGGUGUAGCGGUGAAAUGCGUAGAGAUCGGGAGGAAUACCAGUGGCGAAGGCGGCCUUCUGGACUGACACUGACACUGAGGUGCGAAAGCGUGGGUAGCAAACAGGAUUAGAUACCCUUGUAGUC